Molecule: long non-coding RNA, 663 nt
Organism: Felis catus (domestic cat)
Lineage: Eukaryota; Metazoa; Chordata; Mammalia; Carnivora; Felidae
Exons: 5
Source: RefSeq, a predicted model, not a curated record
CACUGACAGCAAAGAGCAAGCUGCACAGCUUGAUCUCACAAACCACAAGAUCAUGACCUGAGCCAAGAUGAAGAGUCAGACGCUUAACCAACUGAGCCACCUGGCGCCCUUGUCUUCUUUCAUUUAAACUGUGCCGCUCAGUUGCAUGGAUCCCCCUCAGCUAAUCCUGCAGCACAAGGUAUGAGUAUAUGGAUAUACACAGAUAAUGGACUUUUAGAAAAAUUGGGGAUUGUACUAACAGCAGUGAGAAUGAGCAAGCCACGAAUAUAGUGACAACAUAGACUUAACAAACGUGAUAUUGAGCAUAGAAAGCCAGACACAGAAAAUUCACAGCUUAAAGGGGAAGUCGGAUGCUUCAAGAACAUGGAAACCACCACCUGUGGUAUGAUUCCCUCAACAGCUUUUAUUUCUAGUCCACUCUGGGAGCACUGAGAAAGCGCCUCCGCUUUGGAGCAAGUCCUGGGGUAGAAAAUCUGAGAGACCGCAGCUGGCACUUGCAUCGAGAAACCUUCAUCAUGCAUGGGAACUGUCCACCAUGGCUGCACCUGAGGUCAGGGCUGAGGGGGUGUGGCACGUGCACCAUUAUUAACAUGACAUCUUCCCAUAGUAACACAUAGAUCUCUACCAUUCUUUUUAUUUUUUAUUAUUUAUUUCUUAGAGAGA